CCAGUAGCUCAGAAGCAGAGCAUCUGCCUUGCAUGCAGAAGGUCUUGGGUUCAAUCCCUGGGUGGGGGA
Molecule: non-coding RNA, 69 nt
Organism: Podarcis lilfordi (Lilford's wall lizard)
Lineage: Eukaryota; Metazoa; Chordata; Lepidosauria; Squamata; Lacertidae
Source: the annotation of a GenBank genome assembly